UACGUAGGGGGCAAGCGUUGUCCGGAAUCAUUGGGCGUAAAGCGCGUGUAGGCGGCUUGAUAAGUCUGCUCUGAAAGCCCGGGGCUCAACCCCGGGAGGCGGGUGGAUACUGUCAAGCUCGAGUCCGGAAGAGGCGAGUGGAAUUCCUGGUGUAGCGGUGAAAUGCGCAGAUAUCAGGAGGAACACCAAUUGCGAAGGCAGCUCGCUGGGACGUUACUGACGCUGAGACGCGAAAGCGUGGGGAGCAAACAGG
RNAcentral lists this ribosomal RNA (253 nucleotides) under uncultured bacterium. Its description in RNAcentral is "partial 16S ribosomal RNA". It matches the Rfam family "Bacterial small subunit ribosomal RNA", at positions 524 to 776 of the family's 1533-position model. The record is from RNAcentral.